Molecule: non-coding RNA, 145 nt
Organism: Postia placenta Mad-698-R
Lineage: Eukaryota; Fungi; Basidiomycota; Agaricomycetes; Polyporales; Adustoporiaceae
Source: Rfam
AUUCUUGUGCUCGGGCACGUACUGUCGCCAGUGAGGUCUAUACCGAGGCACAGUCUUUUGCUGAUUGCAAAUUACACAUCCGAACACGUCUGUUGGCUUCGGCCUUCAGCAAUUUUUGGAAACUCCUUACCAUAUGUUCUUGGAA